GUGCGCCAAGGAACUCAAAUCUGUUAAGUGCGACUCCCGGGGGCCCGGAGACGGUGUCCCGCGGGAGUCGUCACGACACAACAUUUACAUACAAUGACUCUCGGCAACGGAUAUCUCGGCUCUUGCAUCGAUGAAGAACGUAGCGAAAUGCGAUACUUGGUGUGAAUUGCAGAAUCCCGUGAACCAUCGAGUCUUUGAACGCAAGUUGCGCCCGAAGCCAUUAGGCCGAGGGCACGCCUGCCUGGGUGUCACACAUCGUUUCCCCAACGCAAACAUGUAACAAUGUUGCUGCGCGGGGUGUAUGCUGACCUCCCGCGAGCACCCGCCUCGUGGUUGGUUGAAAUCUGGGUUCAUGGCCGACUUCGCCGUGAUAAAAUGGUGGAUGAGCCACGCUCGAGACCAAUCACGUGCGAGCCGGUCAGUUCUGGACCCAUCGACGACCCUUUGCGUGCACGCACGCUCCCAACGAGACCUCAGGUCAGGCGGGGCUACCCGCUGAG
Molecule: ribosomal RNA, 500 nt
Filed under: embryophyte environmental sample
Lineage: Eukaryota; Viridiplantae; Streptophyta
Description: eukaryotic LSU rRNA
Rfam family: 5.8S ribosomal RNA (bases 96-251)
Source: RNAcentral